This 69-nucleotide transfer RNA is filed under the name Chloroflexota bacterium. Its description in RNAcentral is "Chloroflexi bacterium tRNA-OTHER". Lineage: Bacteria; Bacillati; Chloroflexota. The record is from RNAcentral.
GCGCCCGUUCUGGACGGAACCGCUCCAUUGCCUACGGAGCGUGUGCGAGUUCGAUUCUCGCCGGGCGCA